Molecule: non-coding RNA, 24624 nt
Organism: Callithrix jacchus (white-tufted-ear marmoset)
Lineage: Eukaryota; Metazoa; Chordata; Mammalia; Primates; Cebidae
Source: RefSeq, a predicted model, not a curated record
UUGCUAAGUGGUAAUUUUAAACUUGCUAUAGCACAGCUAAUGAAAUAAAUGAACUUUUCAAAAUAAAUGACUUAUUGUAGAAUAUUGUUCUGAAGCAGGUGAUUUUUAAAAUGCUGAUUGAAAUGUUUGCCUUUCUCUUGGUAUAGCUUUUGUGUAAAAGGGGAGUGAAAUAAUGUAAGGCUUGAUGUUUAACACUUGAAGUGAGAAAUAUGCAAAACAACAUAAAAGGAAUAGUUAAAUCACAGGAUGUAAAGUCAGUAUAUAAAAAUCAGUAUUAUUUCUAUACAUCAGAAAUGAAUAGUCCAAAGUAAAAUUUUAAAAAUCCAUUCACAGCAGCACCAAAACGAGCAAUAUGUUUAGGAAUGAACAGAAUGAAGUGCAAGAUCACUACACUGGAAAGAAAAAGCAUUGCUGCAAGAAAUUAAAGAAGACCUAACAAAGUGGAGAGAGACACCAUGCUAUGUAUUGGGGGACUCAAUUCUUGUUAAGAUGGCAGUGCUUUCACUUUCACAUUUGAGCAACAGGUUCAAUGCAAUCCCUGUUAGAAUUGCAGCUGGGUGUUUUGUGGAAAUGGACAAGCUGAUCCUAAAAUUUACAUGGAAGAUAGCCCCAAAAGAAGAAAAAAGUCAAAGGGCUUAUCCUGCCUUAUUACAAAACUUACCACAAAACUAGAGUAAUUAAAACAGUGUAGAUUGACAUGUAAAUUAGUUGAACAAAAUAUGGUCAAAUGAUUGUUGACAAGUGUGUGAGGGUAAGGCACUGUGGGAAGGGAUUACUUUUCAACAAAUGGUGCCAUAAAUUAGAUAUAUACACUCAGGCCAGGCCUGGUGGCUCUCACCUGCAAUCCCAGCACUUUGGCAGACUGAGAUGGGAGGACUGCUUGAGCCCAGGAAUUCAAGAGCAGCCUAGACAACAUAGUGAGUCCCCAUCUCUAGAAAAAAAAAAGUUACACACAUGCAAACAAGUAAAUAAUAAAUCUUGGGCCCUACCUCAGAAUGUACACAGAAAUUAACUCAAAAUAGACCAGAGACCUACAUGUGAGAAAAAUCUAUACAAGCUUUAGGAAAAAAUAGAAGAAAAUAUAUUUGACAUUGGAUUAGGCAAAGAUAUGACAUUGAAAGCAUAAAAUAAAAAGAAAAUUAGUAGAUUGGACUUAAUGAAAAGCCACAGACUAAAAUAAAAUACUUGCAAAAUAUAUAUCUGAUAAAGGAUUGCAUCCAGAAUAUUUAAAGAACUCUUACAACUCCAUAUUAAGAAAAUAGUCCAAUUAAGAAAGGAGCAAAAGAUUUGAAUAGACAUUUCAUCAAUAAAGAUAUAUAGAUGCAAAGUGAACAUAUGAAAAGAUACUCUGCGUCAUUAGUGUUUAGCAAAAUGCAAAUAGAAAUGACAAAGAUACCAGUUCACACCCUCAAAGAAUGGCAGCACCAAGUGUGUGCGAUGCUCUGGGGAGAGUAGAAACUUCACACAUUGCUGGUAGGAAUAUAAAAUAGGGCAGCCGCUGAGGGAAAGCGUUUUCAGUUACCUAAAAAGUUAAACAUAUACUUCCCAUAAAACCUAGUAAUUCUACUCCAAAAGAAAUGGAAACAUAUCCUCAUGGCCACCUGUCUGUGAACACUUAGGGCAGUUGUUCAUAAUAGCCCAAGUUGGAAAUAACCCAAGUGUUCAUCAGCAGUGAGCGAGCUGUGGUAUAUCCACGCAGUGACAAGAGAUACUUCUGAGCAGUGACAAGCAAUGUGCACGUGCUGCAGCGUGGAUAAACCCCAAGUCCACAUGCUGCGUGAAAGAAGCCAGCCACAAGAGACUAGCUUAUAGGAUGCCGUUUAUAUGAAAUUUCUGUGCAAGGCCACACUGAGUGACAGAAAGCACCAGUGGCUGCCCAGGGGCAGGGGAUGGGAGUGAGGAUUCACUGAAGAUGGGAAGGAAGGAACUUUUGGGGCGAUGGAAGGAUUCUAAACCUGCACUGUAGUGUAAAUUUACUAAAACACAAUGAGUUGUACACUUAAAUUAGGUAACUUUUAUGGCAUGUAAGCCUACCUCAAAGCUGUUUAGAAAAGAUAAACCUUAUAAAGGGGAGGGCGGCAAGGAAGGCCAACAUUAAAAUAAAAUUGAGGCACAGCUUGAAUGUUGGUUUAAGGAUUUUGUAUAUUCUCUCACUGAAGAAAAUGUGUAGAUGUUCAUAUACAUCUGUAUUUUUCUGAGCUGAAAAGGUGAAACAUGAGAACGAGCACUGACCCUCAAAGGAAGGUGCCCUCAGAGGAAGGAGGUCUAGAGUCGAGGGGGCGACAUGGUAACUGUCUUCAGAUGCUGGAAGGGAGUAGAUGUGUUCGUUCUUUGGCAUGCUAAGAUGGAAUACCACCAGAUGAAAUGUGAAAAGGCACACAUGACCCAAGGAAGGACGGCCUCGGGUACAGUGAGAAUGUUCAACAGUAUGAACAUUCCAUUUGUGGAAUAGUGCAUUUGCCAUGGGAGAUCUGUCAGUUGAUGCUGAGGGGACAUUUUGGUUUGCAUGCUGUAGGAGAUCAUGCCAGGUGCCUUCUCCAUUCCCUUCUGGUGGGCAUUCCUGACAAGCCAUGGCAGGAGCUGCUAGCAUGAUGUAUAGCUGUUCAUGAGUGCCUUCCCCUUAAAUCUGUAAAGAACUAAAGAAAAUUGAGAAGUUGGCCAGGCAUGAUGUCUCAUGCCUGUAAUCCCAGCAGUUUGGGAGGCCAAGGCACGUGGAUCAUGAGGUCAGGAGUUUGAGACCAGCCAGACCAACAUGGUGAAACCCCGUCUCUACUAAAAGUACAAAAAUUAGCUAGGCAUGGUGGUGCACACCUGUGAUCCCAGCUACUUAGGAGGCUGACGCAGGAGAGUUGUUUGAACCCAGGAGGCGGAGGUUGCAGUGAGCCGAGAUCAAGCCACUGCACUCCAGCCUGGUAGACAGAGCAAGACUCCAUCUCAAAAAAAAAGAAAAGAAAGAAAGGAAAAGAAAAGAAAAGUUCUAUCAUUGCACAUUGACUUCUUCCCUGUUCUCUGCCUUUUUAUGUCUUAGCUCAUUUGUUUCUUCUCUUUAGAUUCUCAGUACCUCGUUUUCUAUCUCCCAUUAAGACGUAGAAGGGUGGAGGGGGCUAAUUGUGUGCCCCACUGUCAGUUUUACUGCUUUAGAGGUGUUGGUGCCUCAUUGCAUAAGCAAGCAGAGAGUGAGUUAUUGGGUAACUGAGGAUGUAUAGCUGGAAAACAGUGGGUUUGAACCUGCAUCUGUUCUACUCUGAGCAUGCUGUUUUAAGUAAUCUAAUUUCAUUUGACUGAAAUUUAUUUGCAUGAUCUGUCACAGGUAAUUUGCCCUUUAUCUCUUUUUAUGAAAUGAAAAACUAUUGCUUUUAAAGAAAUUAUAGAUAUCAUCAGAGGAGAAUCUUUGUUGAGAGGUAGGAUGAGAAAGUUCAAGUGAGUUUCUUUCUCUUGAUUUUGACAUGAGAUGUUUUAGAACCGUUUCCAAAGUUUAUUCUGUGUGUGUAUGUGUUUGAAGAUUAGUCCCAGGAAAGGAUUGACUGUGUGUCUUUUUUGGCCUCAGAAGACCUCCCUGCUCUGCAGGGAUUGUGUGCUCUGGAAAGCAGCCACCGAAGCCCGUUUUCUAGGACCUGUGUGGUGCAGAGGGUCCGAGAGUGUCUUUGCUCUGACUGUGUCUCUGACCCUGCAGCCUGGCAUAAGGUUGCUUGCUUCAGCAGAAGCUCUGAAGCUGUGCUCCAGCCCUGAUCUCCUUGUCCUAAAACCUUCCUUCAUCCCUGUCAUAAGACAUUUUCUCUCUGUGCACCCGCUGCAGUUCAUGCCAUCAGACUCUGUCUUGCUGUUUUCUUUGGCCUCAGCACUCCCAGGACCUCUGACUCUAGGUUUGGACGAAUGAGCAGCAGGAUUUACUCGAGCGCCACUUUGCUGGGGCUUCAGGCCUCCCUCGGAUUCAGCUAUGGAGUAUGUUCCUCAGGCACAGGACAUGGGUGUGGGGGGACAGGUGACUGCCAGAGGGCAAAGGGACAGAAUUGAGGUUAAAUUCCUAAGAUGCACAAGUAUCAGUCUCCAUUUAGUAGAAAGAUUCCUUCACUGUUUUGUGGUAGACAGUUCCAGUGAGGGUGAUGAAUUGUGAAAUCAGGCUGUUUUAUUGGUUCAUUCAUCAUUCAUCUUAUUUAUAAGACCAACUUGGCACCCCUCUCCUGUGUCCUAGGCACUGUUCUCAGCUUCUCCAAGUUCAGUAUGGUGGGAGUCCUGUGAAAACAUUUUAAUACUGUGUGCCCAGGGCUCUGGUGGGAGAGAGUUUACAAAAAUAGCUAACCCCGCUAGGAGCAAGCAGCUCAGGGCAGAGCUUCCUGGGGGGCUUGGUAUAUGCAUUAGAUAUGAGGACCCUAGGUAGCUGAAGAGGUAGCAGGGGCAGACUUUAUUGCAGGACAGACAGCACAGGCAGAGGUGUCGAGGCAUGAAAUAUGGCGUGGAAGCACUGGCAGCUUAAUAAGUAGCCUUACUAUGGGGGGGGUGGUGGUAGUGGUGGUGGUGGUGUGUGAGUGUACACGUGAGAGAGAGAAAGCGUGUUCACAUGCAUAUGAGCUUGGUGGGGUGGGGUGACACUGUUACAUCUCAAGGCAUGCUUUCCCAGCCAUUUCCCUUGGCCACAGUAUAUUGUUUGUGUAAUAGUCCUCUCAUUCUCUCAAAUGAGAAACAAAUGCAUCAAAUGUGUUUCAUGUACUAAGGGAACAGAGAUAUAGACAGGACUAACUUUCUCUUUUAUCUAGCAUUUAUUUAGUAUAUACGAUUUUAGAAUAGACACACCUGUGCUUUGCCUAUAAAAAAAUGUAUGAGCUGGCUAUGGAAAUAAUUCCUACAUGUGUCUUGAUGUGUGCCACAACCAGCACCAUUUAAACAAGGCCCCGGGGCAGAUGCAUUGUCUGUGCUUCGGCUUCCCUCACAUAGAAAUUCAGUUUCGUGGUGGCAGUUACAUGCACAUAGCACUGUUUGACAUAAUCUUGCUUGUUUAUGUCUUGGUCUGUCUCACCAGCGAGCGCGAGUGCUAGGGGAGCACAUCCUGCCUGUCUUUCACACCACUUCAUCCCUAGGGCCUCACAGAAUGCCUGGCAUGUGGUAGGGUCCCAAUAAAUACUUAUUAAAAGAGUGAGUUUAGGAUACAGCCUGGUUUUGUCUACCCUCUACUCACCCCGUUUUCUUGUUCUUCAUGACUACACUUCCUUCCUUUCUGGAAAAUGUGUGUUUUCUGCAGGUUUGUUUUCCUGUGUUCCUUCUGUCUGGAGUGUUCUUCCUCCUCCCAACCUCCCUCUCCUCCUGACUCUCAGAUUUUACCGUAUCACAUCCCUAGCAAGUCUUACUGAGAUGUCUCAAUCUAGGACAAAUGGUUUGUUGCACAUACUCUCAUGGAAUUGUGUUCCUUUCCUCCUGAAAAUCUAUCUUGGUUCUUAAUCAUAAUUGUUUGAGAGAGUUACUCAAGAAAUGUGUUUUGCCCUCAUUGACUGCAAAUUCUGUGAUGGCCAUUAUGCCCUGCCUGUUUUGUUUUCUGAAUGUAGUCAGUACCUAAGAGAUUGUAUGCUCUCAGUAAGUGUUCACUGGUGAAUAAGUGAGUGAUGAUGUGACUUCUGCGUCAGAGCACACCUUGUCCAAGGAGCCCCCUUGAGCUCCUGCUUCCUGGCCAUAGACCCUGCCUCACUUAGAAUGCUAGGAUCUACUUCAGGUCCUGUUCAAUGGGGGUCUUGUGAAAGCCGCUGUGGACUCCCUGUCUCCUUCUCUGUGCCCCUGGAGCAGUGUCUCAUCCCUGAUUAUUUUAUUUUAUUUUACUUUAAGUUCUUGGGGUACAUGUGCAGAUCUUGCUGGAUUGUUACAUAGAUAUACACAUGCCAUGGUGGUUUGCUACCUCCAUCCCCCGGUCACCAACAUUAGAUAUUUCUCCUAAUGUUAUCUCUUCCCAAUUUCCCCACCCCCUGCUACCUCUCCCCUAACCCCUCAUUCCUCAACAGACCCCAGUGUGUGAUGUUCCCCUCCCUGUGUCCAUGUGUUCUCAUUGUUCAACACCCACUUAUGAGAGAGAACAUGUGGUGUUUGGUUUUCUGUUCUUGUGUCAGUUUGCUGAGAAUGAUAGUUGCCAGAUUCAUCCAUGUCCCUGGCAAAGGACAUGAACUCAUCUUUUUUUAUGACUGCGUAGUAUUCCGUGGUGUAUAUGUGCCACAUUUUCUUUAUUUCCAGUCUAUCUUUGAUGGGCAUUUGGGUUGGUUUCACGUCUUUGCUAUUGUAAACAGUGCCACAAUGAACAUUCGUGUGCAUGUGUCUUCAUAAUAGAUCAAUUUAUAAUCCUUUGAGUAUAUACCUAAUAAUGGGAUUGCUGGGUCAAACGGUAUUUCUAUUUCUGGAUCCUUGAGGAAUUGCUGCCUUCCACAAUGGUUGAACUAAUUUACACUUCCACCAACAGUGUAAAAGCGUUUCUAUUUCUCCACAUCCUCUCCAGCAUCUGUUGUCUUCAGAUUUUUUAAUGAUUGCUAUUCUAACUGGUGUGAGAUGGUAUCUCAAUGUGGUUUUGAUUUGCAUUUCUCUAAUGACCAGUGAUGAUGAGCAUUUUUUCAUAUGUUUUUUUGGCCACAUAAAUGUCUUCUUUUGAAAAGUAUCUGUUCAUAUCUUUCCCCCACUUUCCUGAUGGGGUUGUUUGUUUUUUUCUUGUAUAUUUGUUUUUGUUCUUUAUAAAUUCUGGAUAUUAGCCCUUUUUCAGAGGGGUAGCUUGCAAAAAUUUUUUCCUAUUCUGUUGGUUGCCUGUUCACUCUGAUGAUUAUUUCUUUUGCUGUACAGAAGCUCUGGAAGUUUAAUUAGAUCCCAUUUGUCUAUUUUGGCUUUUGUUGCCAUUGCUUUUGGUGUUUUAGUCAUAAAGUCCUUGCCUAUGCCUAUGUCCUGAUUGGUAUUGCCUAGAUUUUCUUCUAGGGUUUUUAUGGUGUUAGGUUUUAGGUUUAAAUCUUUAAUCCAUCUGGAGUUAAUUUUUGUUUAAGGUGUAAGGAAGGGGUCCAGUUUCUGCACAUGACUUGCCAGUUUUCCCAACACCAUUUAUUAAACAGGGAAUCCUUUCCCCAUUGCUUGUUUUUGUCUGGUUUGUCAAAGAUCAGAUGGUUGUAGAUGUGUGGCAUUACUUCCGAGGCUUCUGUUCUGUUCCAUUGGUCUAUAUCUCUGUUUUGGUACCAGUACCAUGCUGUUUUGAUUACUGUAACCUUGUAAUAGAGUUUGAAGUCAGGUAGCAUGAUGCCUCCAGCUUUAUUCUUUUUGCUUAGGAUUGUCUUGGCAUUGUGGGCUCAUUUUUGGUUUAAGAUAGUUUUUUCCAGUUCUGUGAAGAAGGUCAGUGGUAGUUUGAUGGGGGGGGGAUAGUGUUGAAUCUAUAAAUUACUUUGGGCAGUAUGGCCAUUUUCAUGAUACUGAACUUUCCUAACCAUGAGUAUGGAAUAGUUUUCCAUCUGUUUGUGUCCUCUCUUAUUUCCUUGAGCAGUGGUUUGUAGUUCUCCUUGAAGAGGUCCUUCACGUCCUUUGUUAGUUGUAUUCCUAGGUAUUUUAUUCUCUUUGUAGCAAUUGUGAGUGGAGGUUCACUCAUGAUUUGGCUCUCUAUUUGUCUGUUAUUGGUAUAUAGGAAUGCUUGUGAUUUUUGCACAUUGAUUUUGUGUCCUGAGAAUUUGCUGAAGUUGCUUAUCAUUUUAAGGAGAUUUUUGGCUGAGACAAUGGGAUCUUCUAAAUAUACAAUCGUGUUAUCUGCAAAUAGAGACAAUUUGACUUCCUCUUUUUCCACUUGAAUGCCCUUUAUUUCUUUUUCUUGCCUGAGUACUCUGGCUAGAACUUCCAAUACUAUGUUGAAUAGGAAUGGCGGGAGAGGGUACCCUUGUCUAAUGCCAGUUUUCAGAGGGAAUGCUUCCAGUUUUUGCUCAUUCGGUAUGAUAUUGGCUGUGGGUUUGUCAUAAAUAGCUUUUAUUAUUUUGAGAUACCUUCCAUUAAUACCUAGUUUAUUAAGAGUUUUUAGCAUAAAGGCUGUUGAAUUUUGUCAAAGGCCUUCUCUGCAUCUAUUGAGAUAAUCAUGUGGUUUUUGUCUUUGGUUCUGUUUAUGUGAUGGAUUACAUUUAUAUAUUUGUGUAUGUUGAACCAGCCUUGCAUCCCCAGUCAUCCCUGAUUCUUGUACCUGCAGCUUCUCUUGCCAGACUGUACUGUUUCUGUUCCCAGGGAAGAAGCAGAGGGGUGGAAAUGAGGGAGGGGCUGAACAUAGGGAGCUGCUCCACUUAGGCUGUGGAAGAAGGGGAAGAGAAAUCUGUUUCAGGCAUACCUAAUUGGGAUUAGGACGAUAUUUUCCCUGGAGAAGGUAACACAAUGUGGCCAUGUUCUGCGAUAUUCAAGAGUGGAAGUCUGUUAACCUUGAGAAAUUAAGCUGAAAAUUUUCUUUAUAACUUGGCAAGUAAUUUUCAACAAGAUGAAUGACCUAAGGGAAAAAGGUAAAAGAGUAUAUGCAAUAAAAUUGAAUAGAUCUAAUGGGUUACCUUGUAUGGAAUUAUGUUGUAAAAGCUGCAGGAAAAUGAUUUUAAACCUCCCAUCACAGAGCUGUAGGAAAGUGAUUUUAAACCUCCCAUCACAUGGCUCAGCUGCCCACCAAUUUGAACAAACAUUUAUUGUGGGCCACAGUAUUUCCAGAAACUCAAAGAUAAAGGAGUUGGGAUCCUUACCCUCUGAAAUGAACAGUUGAGUUGGGAACAUUACAGCGUCAUUUCUGCAACAAAUGUUUAUUAUGCUGAUGCUGGGAUCCAGUGACGAAUAAAAAAGACAUACUUUGUCCCCUUGUGAAGCCUACAGUCAGACUACCCACCACAGGCAAUUACUGUUACAAAAGAAGGGUGUACCAAAGGCUAGGGGCAUCCUGGAGGGAACAGCAGUGGUGGAAAGUAGUAAAACUGUGUAUCAGCCACUGACUGUAUUCGGUAGAAUCAAAAAGUUACAAAUGAUGUAUAGAUAUUUGGUGUUAAGUAGAAUGAUGCUAAAAUAUACUUACUUAAAAUAUUGGGAAAUAUGAUAUUUUCCUCAGAAGUCUACUUUAUUGAUGAUAAAAUUGAGCAUCAGACAAGGUCAUGAAAAAAGAUUGAAUUCAAACUCUGACUUACAUUGGGUGGCCUUAGUGAUGGAUUUGAUGAGCACUACUUGGAGUCAGAUAUAUAUGGGUUUGAAUUCAAGCUCUGCUGAGUUUCCAUUACCUUCAGAACCUUGGCUAAGUCACUUUACCUUUCCAGGCUUAAAUUGGAUUAAGUCAGUAACUUAGAUGAGGAACAGGGUACCUGCAUGCUUCAUAUUGUGGGUAUGUAGGUAAACUUUUCUUGGAAUAAUGGGUUCAGAUACCAAAAAGAGGUGUUCAGACUUUCAGAUCAAAUCCUUUCAAAGGUCAUUUUUAGUUCUGAAGUAUUUUGCUGUUUUUUUUCUUCCUCCUGAAUAUGUGAUGUUACAGCUUGUUUUAAAGUAUUCAUAGUGUUGUAUUUAUCACCAUGUACUGCAGUUCAUUGUCUUCUCCCCAGAGUGUGAACUCCUUAGCAGGGAUAUUUUACUCUUUAAAAUCUCACUGUUAGGCAUUCAGAUGAUAGGAGCUUAGUAAGUGAAGUUAUCUGUUGUAUUCUGUUCUGUCAAAUGAAUAUUUGUGAGUUUUUGCCUUUAAAUCUUAAAAAAAUUUUUUUUUGAUGGAUAUUGGUUCCUGGUGUAAGAGAUUUCCAAACAGAUUCUUUUCACUCAUGCUCUUGGCCUUGAAUGACACACUUGAUAGGUUGACUUGCCUUAGUCUCCUGGUGUUCCCUGCUUCUCUUCCCUCUUGCUUUUCUUCCUCUUAGGCUCUCCACAGGGCAGAAGACAUGGUAACUGGCAGAGUGGGGUGGAGUUGGGGCAGGAAGAGGCAGCUUCAGCUGCUGUGGCCUCUAUCUUAAUCCACUGUGACCCUGAAGAGCAGACUGUCCUGGGGUCCACGUUACCUGUCAUCUGCCAGUACUCACAACAUUCCUACCGUGACUUCCUAGAUAGAAAUGUCAUCAGGAACUGCCUUAACUCUACUGGGAAUGAAUGAUGAUCUUAGAAGUGCCAUCUGGCAGGCAGCAGGCUCAAGUCAUUUGAAAAUUUGUCCUCAUGGAGUUAAUUAGCAGUGGUUAGUGGCUUGGCAGGAACUCUGUGGGGAAAAUACUAACUUCACUGAGGACACUCCCAUGAUCCCACGAGAGAGAAUAAAAUGUGGUGGCAAGGAAAGUGGACUUUAGUUUUUUUCUUGUAUGUUCUCUGUGGACCAUAUUCACCAGCCUUUCAGGGGUCUGGAAUAAAGGUACAGGCCCUGUUGGUAUUACUGUGCUAACCCAAAAUUAAAGUUGGAUUUCAUUUGGGAAACUAUGAGCAAGUCUAAAAUUGAUUUUUUGAUAUUAUCCCCUUAAGAGUUAAUGUUUCCAUAAUUACCAUGUAUCAGUCACUGUAAUAAGCACAUGCUACUUCAUCCUAGCAAUAGCACUUAGAGGUUUGUGUGCUGUGCCUCUUUCACCAAGAAACAGAAAUUAGUAAAUGGUGGUCUAGGAUUUGAACUAGUUGUGUCCAAUUCCACCCAGGGCUUUUUAUUAUUACUUCUAAGCAAUAACCAUUAUGAUUAUGAAAUUUUGUUUUUAAAAAAAUACUCUAAAUUGAGGGGAAUUUAUGGAGACAACAGGGUCUCUGAACAAAGGCUGGGGUUGUAGGUGUUGGUGAUUAUUCAUCAGAGCAAAUAUGCAUAUAUCUCUAUCCAAAAGAAUAUGGUCGCCUUUUGGCAUAUUGUGCUUAGGAUGUAAGGUUUUUAAAAUACUCUCAGUGCCCAUGGGGAGUUACUUGGUAAUAGGUAAUAGGAUGUCCAGGUCCUGUUGGAAUUCUGAAAGAGCUUCAGAACAUAGCAUUGUUCCAUCAAAUCCUGUACUCAGGAAAGAAUGUGACUGAGAUUCCUUUAUAUACUGGUAAGUCAAUGUAGUGUCUCUUUUGGAGGUGUUGCAUUUGAAUUAACUUUAUUUCAAAUUGUAAACUGAAUUCCUGUCAAGGUUUCAUGUUGGUUCAUGUUGUAGUUUUGUGAGAAAAGAAGCAUGAGUGAAAGGGGUAUUUUUUCGACUUUUUGUUAAUAAAUGAGGAAAUUGUCUUGGACAGUUGGGACUUGCUAAAUGAUGAACUCUACCUGUGAUGUGGUGUGUUGUUAAGCAUAUAGACUUGACAUGUGCACGUUCUGUAGUCACUGUGUUAGAAAGAGUACGGCUUAAUAGAAAGAGCCUUUGGCCUUUGACUUUGGAAUUUGAAUGAUGGAGUGAUUUCUGUGUGCCACUUUGCUGAGUGUUUUUUUUCUUCUAAAUACUUUAUCCUAUUUAACUGUUGAAAUAAUCCUCUGUAGGAAGUGUUACUGUUGACUUUUACAGAUAGGGACACUGAGGUUUCAGAAGGUUAAAUACUUCAACAAGGUCACAGAACCAGUUAACUGGCAGCUCUAGAAGUUUGUGAAAUUCAUUAGUGUUGUUGAGGGUUGUUAGAUUGCUUAUUUACUGAGAUUCUUGUAAGGAAUGUUUUAUUUAAAUUGAAGAAACAAAGAUAUUUUUACUUGCUUACUUGCUAGCAUAGAAGUCUUGGUUUACUUUUUGAAAGAAUAGCAGGCACCAUUGAGACAUUGUGUUGUGGCUGGGUUGUUUUCUGUCUUCUUCAUUAGGAUGUAGUAUUGGGAGUCUUUAAAAAAUAUUUUAACCUUUAAAAAAAUAUCUGAGUAAUAGUGAUUUUAUUCUCUAGAAUCCCUCCCUUUAUUUAAAAUUGUUCAGCCUUCUCUAAGUGCUUUGCCUGUGGUUGGUAUAUAUUAAAAUACUAAUAAAUAUAGACUUCAAAAUAGUAUUUUAAUGUCAGCUGACUAAAAAUAUAAUUCUAGAAUUCUUUUAGAUAAACUAACUAUGUAGGGAAAAAAUGGCUCCUACUUGUUGCUAGCUUAUUAAAUAGUCCUUAUUUAGAGUGGUUAUGGAAAAGACAGAUAAAGGGUAACAGCAGAAUAACUAAGAACCUAACAAACUGCCAGGCAUUUUGGUGAAAGGAUAUUAGAGCAAUUGAGCCUGGCAUUUAUAUCUCAUGGUAAAAAUUGCACAUUUAUGGUACUAGUGCAAAAAUAGCCACAUAGAUGAAUAGAACAGAAUAGAGAUCUCAGAAAUAAGACCACACAUCUAUAACCAUCUGAUCUUCAACAAACUGAUAAAAGCAAGCAAUGGAAAAAGGAUUCCCUAUUUUAUAAAUGGUGCUUGAAAAACUGGCUAGCCAUAUGCAGAAAAUUGAAACUGGAUUCCUUCCUUACACCUUAUACAAAAAUUAGCUGAAGAUGGAUUAAAGAUUUAAACAUGAAGAUGGUGCGGUAGGAACAACUCGGGAUUGCAGCUCUCAGUGAACGCGCAGAGGGUGAGUCAGGGCCGCAUUUCCAGAUGGAUCUUUGUUGCCCACAGACGGGGAAAUUCCCAGGUGUAGGAGAGACAUGAGAAGCCAGCACAGCCCUCCCGGGCCAUUUUGGCCGGCGCCGCAGCGCAGCGGCACCUCGCACAAAACGCACUGAUCUGAGUGCCCUGUUAAACCGGCAGUCUGAGAUUUGGGAGGGCAGAUAGCAUAUCCAUCUGAUUAAAUGGGACUUGGACAGUGAGCCAGACAAGGAGAUUCCUGGGAAGUGACAUUUGAGCCGGUGCAGUGGGCCCUGCACGGGAAAUCACACAGAUCCCGGUGCCCUACCAGCAGGCGACUAAAACACCUGAGAGAGAGUCAACCGUUCAACUUAAAAAAAAAAAUAAGAGGGAGAAAGGGCUCUGAGGCAGGGAGCCAGGUGAUCAGGCUCGGCAGGUCGCACCCUGACAGGGACAAACAAAACGGUGAUUGGAAAUGCUCGGGGUUGAGAGUUUCACCGGGGGCACAGCUGAAUCCAGGACGAUGCAGCUCCGUGGGGGAGGGGCGUCUGCCACGACCGAGGCAUUCCACCCCUACUUAGGUACAUGCCCAUGCUGACGCAGCCUACUGUUGCCAAGGCAACCUGCCACAACAGAGAGACUCCGCCAACAGGGCGGAGCCCACAACAGCAGGGAAGAGCCCACGGACAACAGGCCAGAGCCCAGGAUGACAGGGCGGAGUCCACAGCAGCAGGGCAAAGCCCACAGCAGCAGGACGGAGCCCAUAGCAGCAGGGACUGGAAUGGACCUCAGCAGUCGUACAGCAGAGGGGCUAGACUGUUAGAAGGAAAACUAAGUAACAGAAAUACUUCAGCAUCAACAAUCUGGGCGUACACUCAGAGACCCAAUUGAAAAGUCAGCAACUACUCAGACGACAGGUGGUUAAAUCCACAAAGAUGGGAAGAAACCAGCACAAAAAGGAGGAAAACACCCGAAACCAGAACAUCUCGCCUCCUACAAAGGACCAAAACUCUUCACCAGCAAGGGAACAAAGCGGGAUGGAGAAUGAGUAUGACGAAAUGACAGAAUCAGACUUCAGAAGGUGGAUAAUGAGAAACUUCUGUGAGCUAAAAGAACAUGUUCUAAAUCAAUGCAAAGAAACUAAGAACCUCGAAAAAAGAUUUGAAAAAAGAUUUGAGGAAAUGAUAACAAGAAUGGACAACCUAGAGAGGAAUAUGAAUGAAUUGAAGGAGCUGAAAAACACAACACGAGAACUUCACGAAGCAUGUACAAGUUUCAACAGCCGAAUUGACCAAGCAGAAGAAACAAUAUCAGAAGUCGAAGAUCAACUCAAUGAAAUUAAACGAGAAACCAAGAUUAGAAAAAAAGUGCAAAAAGGAAUCAGCAACGUCUCCAAGAAAUGUGGGACUAUGUGAAGAGACCUAACCUACAUUUGAUAGGUGUACCAGAAUGUGAAGAAGAGAAUGAAUCCAAGCUGGAAAAUGCUCUUCAGGAUAUUAUCCAGGAAAAUUUCCACAACCUAGCAAGGCAGGCCAAUAUUAAAGUCCAGGAAAUACAGAGAACACCACAAAGAUACUCCGCAAGAAGAGCAACCCCAAGGCACAUAAUCGUCAGAUUAACCAGGGUUGAAAUGAAGGAGAAAAUACUAAGGGCAGCCAGAGCGAAAGGUCGGGUCACCCACAAAGGGAAGCCCAUCAGACUCACAGCAGAUCUCUCGGCAGAAACUCUACAAGCCAGAAGAGAGUGGGGGCCAAUAUUCAACAUCCUUAAAGAAAAGAACUUUCAACCCAGAAUUUCAUAUCCAGCAAAACUGAGCUUCAUAAGUAAAGGAAAAAUAAAAUCCUUUGCAAACAAGCAAGUACUCAGAGAUUUUGUCACCACCAGGCCUGCUUUACAAGAGCUCCUGAAAGAGGCACUAUACAUAGAAAGGAACACCCAGUACCAGCCAUUCUAAAAACAUACCAAAUGCUAAAGAGCAUCAAUAAAAAGAAGAAUCUGCAUCAACUAACGGGCAAAACAGCCAGCUAGCAUCAAAAUGGCAGUAUCAAAUUCACACAUGACAAUAUUAACCCUAAAUGUAAAUGGGCUAAAUGCACCAAUCAAAAGACACAGACUGGCAAAUUGGAUAAAAAUCCAAAACCCAUCGGUGUGCUGUAUCCAGGAAACCCAUCUCACAUGCAAGGACACACAAAGGCUCAAAAUAAAGGGAUGGAGGAAGAUUUACCAAGCAAAUGGAGAGCAAAAAAGAAGCAGGAGUUGCAAUUCUCAUCUCUGAUAAAAUAGACUUUAAAGCAACAAAGAUCAAAAGAGACAAAGAAGGUCAUUACAUAAUGGUAAAAGGAUCGAUACAACAAGAAGAGCUAAAGAUCCUAAAUAUAUAUGGACCCAGUACAGGAGCACCCAGAUAUAUAAGGCAAGUUCUUAACAACUUACAAAGAGACCUAGACUCCCACACAGUAAUAGUGGGAGGCUUUAACACUCCACUGUCAAUAUUAGACAGAUCAACCAGACAGAAAAUUAACAAGGAUAUCCAGGGCUUGAACUCAGACCUGGAACAAGCAAACCAGAUAGACAUUUACAGAACUCUCCGCCCCAAAACCACAGAAUAUACAUUCUUCUCAGCACCACAUCACACCUACUCUAAAAUUGACCACAUAAUUGGAAGUAAAGCACUCCUCAGCAAAUGCAAAACAACUGAAAUCAUAACAAACAGUCUCUCAGACCAUAGUGCAAUCAAGUUAGAACUCAGAAUUCAGAAACUAACUCAGAACUGCACAGCGUCAUGGAAACCAAACAACUGGCUCUUGAAUGUUGAUUGGAUAAACAAUGAAAUGAAGGCAGAAAUAAAGAAGUUCUUUGAAACCAACGAGAACGAAGACACAACAUACCAGAAUCUCUGGGACACAUUUAAAGCAGUCUCUAGAGGAAAAUAUAUAGCAAUAAGUGCCCACAUGAGAAGAGCGGAGAGAUCCAAAAUUGACACCCUAUCAUCAAAAUUGAAAGAGCUAGAGGAGCAAGAUCAAAAAAACUCAAAAGCUAGCAGAAGACAAGAAAUAACUAAGAUCAGAGCUGAACUGAAGGAGAUAGAGACACAAAAAACCCUUCAAAAAAUCAAUAAAUCCAAGAGCUGGUCUUUUGAAAAGAUCAACCAAAUAGACAGACCACUAGCCAGACUGAUUAAAAAGAAAAGAGAGAACAACCAAAUAGAUGCAAUAAAAAACGAUAAAGGGGAAAUCACCACAGAUUCCACAGAAAUUCAAACUAUUAUCAGAGAAUACUACAAACAACUCUAUGCACAUAAACUAGUAAACCUGGAAGAAAUGGAUAAAUUCCUGGACAUCUGUGUCCUCCCAAGUCUAAACCAGGAGAAAGCCGAAACUAUGAAUAGAUCAAUAACAAGGUCUGAAGUCAAGGCAGCAAUUAAGAGCCUACCACACAAAAAAACCCCAGGUCCAGAUGGGUUCACAGCUGAAUUCUAACAGACACCCAAAGAGGAGCUGGUACCAUUCCUUCCUUCUGAAACUAUCCCAAAUAAUCCAAAAAGAGGAAAUCCUUCCCAAAUCAUUUUAUGAGACCAACAUCAUCCUGAUACCGAAACCUAGCAGAGACUCAACAAGAAAAGAAAACUUCAGGCCAAUAUCCAUGAUGAACAUAGCUGCAAAAAUCUUCAGUAAAAUACUGGCAAACCAAUUGCAACAGCAUAUCAAAAAACUUAUCCAUCAUGAUCAAGUAGGAUUCAUCCCGGGGAUGCAAGACUGGUUCAACAUACACAAGUCUAUAAACGUAAUUCACCACAUAAACAGAACCAAAAACAAAAACCACAUGAUUAUCUCAAUUGAUGCAGAGAAGGCCUUUGACAAAAUUCAACAGCCCUUUAUGCUAAAAACCCUCAAUAAACUCGGUAUGGAUGGAACGUAUCUCAAAGUAAUAAAAGCUAUUUAUGACAAACCAACAGCCAAUAUCAUACUGAAUGAACAAAAACUGGAAGCAUUCCCUUUGAAAUCCGGCACAAGACAAGGAUGCCCUCUCUCACCCCUCCUAUUCAAUAUAGUACUGGAAGUUCUAGCCAGAGCAAUCAGGCAAGAAAAAGAAAUAAAGGGUAUUCAAAAAGGAAAGGUGGAAGCCAAGUUGUCUCUAUUUGCAGAUGACAUGAUAGUAUACCUAGAAGACCCCAUCGUCUCAGCCCAAAAACUCGUGAAACUGAUAAGCAACUUCAGCAAAGUCUCAGGAUAUAAAAUCAAUGUGCAAAAAUCACAAGCAUUCCCAUACACCAAUAACAGACUUAAAGAGAGCCAAAUCAAGAAUGAACUGCCAUUCACAAUUGCUACAAAAAGAAUAAAAUACCAAGGAAUACAAUUUACAAAGAACAUAAGGGAACUCUUGGAGGAAAACUACAAACCACUGCUCAAUGAAAUCAGAGAGGACACAAACAGAUGGAGAAACAUUCCAUGUUCAUGGUUAGGAAGAAUUAAUAUCAUGAAAAUGGCUAUACUGCCCAAAGUAAUUUACAGAAUCAAUGCUAUCCCCAUCAAGCUACCAUUGACUUUCUUCACAGAGCUGGAAAAAUCCACCAUGAACUUCAUAUGGAACCAAAAGAGAGCCCGCAUAGCCAAGUCAAUUCUAAGCAAAAAGAACACAGCAGGAGGCAUCACAGUACCGGACUUCAAACUAUACUACAAGGCUACAGUAAUCAAAACAGCAUGGUACUGGUACCAAAACAGAGAUAUAGACCAAUGGAACAAAACAGAGGCAUCAGAGGCAACAUAACAUAUCUACAACCACACAAUCUUUGAUAAACCUGACAAAAACAAGCAAUGGGGAAAGGAUUCCCUGUUUAAUAAAUGGUGUUGGGAAAACUGGCUAGCCAUGUGCAGAAAGCAGAAACUGGACCCCUUCCUGACACCUUACACUAAAAUUCACUCCAGAUGGAUUAAAGACUUAAACAUAAGACCUGGCACCAUAAAAACCCUAGAAGAAAAUCUAGGCAAAAUCAUUCAGGACAUAGGAGUAGGCAAGGACUUCAUGAACAAAACACCAAAAGCAUUGGCAACAAAGCCAAAAUAGACAAAUGGGACCUAAUCAAACUCCACAGCUUCUGCACGGCAAAAGAAACAGUCACUAGAGUGAAUCAGCAACCAACAGAAUGGGAAAAAAUUUUUGCAGUUCACCCAUCUGACAAAGGGCUGAUAUCCAGAAUUUACAAAGAACUCAAACAGAUUUAUAGGAAAAAAACAAACAAGCCCAUUCAAAAAUGGGCAAAGCAUAUGAACAGACGCUUUACAAAAGAAGACAUACAUAAGGCCAACAAACAUAUGAAAAAAUGCCCAUCAUCACUGGUCAUUAGAGAGAUGCAAAUCAAAACCAUACUGAGAUACCAUCUCACUCCAGUUAGAAUGGCGAUCAUUAAAAAAUCUGGAGACAGCAGAUCCUGGAGAGGAUGUGGAGAAAUAGGAACACUUUUACACUGUUGGUGGGAGUGUAAAUUAGUUCAACCAUUGUGGAAGACAGUGUGGCGAUUCCUCAAGGCCUUAGAAAUAGAAAUUCCAUUUGACCCAGCAAUCCCAUUACUGUGUAUAUAUCCAAAGGACUAUAAAUUGUUCUACUAUAAGGACAUAUGCACAUGAAUGUUCAUUGCAGCACUGUUUACAAUAGCAAAGACCUGGAAUCAACCCAAAUGCCCAUUGAUGAUAGACUGGACUGGGAAAAUGUGGCCCAUAUACACCAUGGAAUAUUAUGCAGCAAUCAAAAAUGAUGAGUUCGCGUCCUUUGUAGGGACAUGGUUGAAUCUGGAGAAUAUCAUCCUCAGCAAACUGACACAAGAACAGAAAAUGAAAUACCACAUAUUCUCACUCAUAGGUGGGUGAGGAAAAAUGAGAACACAUGGACACAGGGAAGGGAGUACUACACAUCGGGGUCUAUUGGGGGGAAUUGGGAGGGACAGCGAGGGGGGGAGCUGGGGAGGAAUAGCCUGGGGAGAAAUGCCAAAUGUGGGUGAAGGGCAGGAAGGCAGCAAAACACACUGCCAUGUGUGUACCUAUGCAACUAUUUUGCACAUUCUGCACAUGUACCCCAAAACCUAAAAUGCAAUUUUAAAAAGUAUAUUUUUAUAAAUAAUUAUAAAAACCUAAAAAAAGUCCAGGCACAGUGGCUCAAGCCUAUAGUCCCAGCACUUUGGGAGGCCGAGGCAGGUGGAUCACGUGGUCAACAUAUCGAGACCAUCCUGGUCAACAUGGUGAGACCUCGUCUCUACUAAAGAUACAAAAAAUUAGCCGGGCAUGGUGGCGCGUGCCUGUAAUUCCAUCUACUCGGGAGGCUGAGGCAGGAGAAUUGCCUGAACCCAGGAGGCGGAGGUUGCGGUGGGCCGAGAUUGCGCCAUUGCACUCCAGCCUGGGUAACAAGAGCGAAACUCUGUCUCAAAAAAAAAAAAAGAAGAAAGAAAAAGAAACCUAAAAAAAAAAAUAGAUUUAGAAUAAAAUUAAUCUACUUGAAAAAAAAUGAUUUAAACAUAAAAUCCAAAACUAUAAAAAUCCUAGAAGAAAAUCUAGGCAGUACCAUUCUGGACAUAGGCAUGGGCAAAGAUUUAAUGACAAAAACAUCAAAAGCAAUUGCAAUAAAAGCAAGAAUUGACAAAUGGGACCUAAUUAAAAUAAAGAACUGCACAGCAAAAGAAACUAUCAUUGGAAUGAACAGACCGCCUACAGAAUGGGAGAAAAUUUUUGCAAUCUAUGUAUCUGACAAAGGUGUAAUAUCUAGAAUCUACAAGGAACUUUUACAAGAAAAAAACCCAUCAAAAAGUGGGCAAAGACAUGAACAGACAUUUCUCAAAAGAAGACAUUUAUGUGGUCAGUAAACAUAUGCAAAGAAGCUCAACAUCACUGAUCAUUAGAGAAAUGCAAAUCAAAGCCAAAAUGAGAUACCAUCUCAUGCCAGUCAGAAUGGCGAUUAUUAAAAAGUCAGGAAACAGCAAUUGCUGGCAAGGAUGUGGAGAAACAGGAACACUUUUACACUGUUGGUGGGAAUGUAAGUUAGGUUAACCAUUGUGGAAGACAGUGUGGCAAUUUCCUCAGAGAUCUAGAACCAGAAUAACAUUUGACCCAGCAAUCCCAUUACUGGGUAUAUACCCAAAGGAAUGUAAAUCAUCCUAUUAUAAAUAUAUAUGUAUGCAUAUGUUCAUUAUAGUACUAUUCACAAUAGCAAAGAUGUGGAAUCAACCCAAGUGCCUGUGAAAGACUGGAUAAAGAAAAUGUGGUACAUAUACACCAUGGAAUACUAUGCAGUCAUAAAAAGGAACUAGAUCAUGUUCUUUGUGGGGACAUGGAUGGAGCUGGAAGCCAUUAUCCUCAGCAAACUCACACAGGAACAGAAAACCAAACACCACAUGUUCUCACUUACAAGUAGGAGCUGAACAAUGAGAACACAUGGACACAGGGAGGGGAAUAACACUGGGGCCUGUCAGGGGAGUCGGGGAGGGAGAGCAUCAGGAUAAAUAACUAAUGCAUGUGGGACUUAAUACGUAGGCAAUGGGUUGAUAGGUGUAGCAAACCACCGUGGCACAUGUUUACCUAUGUAACAAACCUGCACAUCCUGCAUAUGUAUCCUAGAACUUAAAAUAAAAAAUUCUUAAAAAGAGACACGCACUGACAUAUCGAAACUUUGUAUGCAACAACAACGACAACAAAAAGAAAAUUUAGCAUUUGCUUACAUUUUAUGCAGCCUCAGAAAGGAGACAAGAUUGCUAAUCUUUCCGAGGCUGGAAUAACCUUGGGAUAUUAUAGAGUAGUGUGCCUUUACAUGACUUGCCUUAGGAAGAGAAUAACAGAUAUGAGGAUGGGUUAGGCACUAUUUGCCUUUCAAAAACAUUUUAAAAUCUUGUAAGGAUCUUAUAUAUUGUUGACCACUUUUCUUGCAGAACUUGAGUGACUAGAGAACUAUUUAGUCUAGUAUGCAAAGCUUUACCCUUGUGUCAAAAAUUUUCUUAGACCCUAGAGCUUUAAAACAGAUAUAGAACACUCUUGUAGCUUAAAUUUAAAAGCAUAAAAUGCUAAAAUGUUGAGUGUGCAGAAUCAGUAUGAUUAAAUUAUCUUUUGUCGGUUUAUUUAGCUCAGUAAUUUAUUUUUUCUUUAGUAAAUUGGAGGAAGGAGGAGGAGAAUUGAAUGAAAAUGAUAUACAAAGACAGAAACAGUAUUUUAUGUUUCCUGAUUACUGAAAACUUCAGGUGAUCUUUUUAUUUUUUAAUUUUGAGACAGAGUCUUGUUCUGUCACCCAGCCUGGAGUGCAGUGAUGCCAUCUUGGCUCACUGCAACCUCCGCCUCCAUAUUCAAGCGAUUCUCAUGCCUCAGUUUCCUGAGUAGCUGGGAUUACAGGUGUGCAUCGUCACGCCUAGCUAAUUUUUGUGUUUUUAGUAGAUACCAGGUUUCGCCAUGUUGGUUGGCCAGACUGAUCUAGAGCUCCUGGCUUCAAGUGAUCUGCCUGCCUUGGCCUCCCGAAGUUCUGGGAUUACAGGCAUGAACCACUAUGCCCCACCCAAGUGAUCUUUUUAAAACCAGUCUGAAUUCUCUUUAUUUUUGACUCCCAUUUCAACUGAUUGAAUAUGUAUUUGGAUUUCAUAUAAAGAUCCAAUUUUUGGUUUUAGACUUAAAAUCGUUUAUUUCUUACUUAAAUUGCAUUCUUUCUUAAUGUCUUCUUAUAUCCCUCUUUAUUGUGAUUUUCAUCCUUACAUACUUUAAAAAGUACCAGGCACAAUUUCAAUGAUCUAGAAGACUCAGAGGUCCCCAGGGAAACACUUAAUACUCCACUGAGAUUAAGGGAAGCAGCUUGCUAGGGUGGAUUUGCUCCCUGUUAGCUUCUGACUCUAUUAAAAUUGUCCUUAGCAUUCAAUGUUGAUCCUAAAUGUCUGGGUUUUUUUGAUCUCUUGGGAAACAGUGACAGCCUUAGUUCCUUGGUGGUUGUCCUAAUCUCUAGUACCUUCGUCCAUUAGUAAAAGUGUGCCCUGUGUAUUCUGUUCCCCGUAGAACUGUCUGCCCCCUGUCUUCUAGUGUUCUCUCAUUCCUGCAAGCCUGCCCUCCUGUCCCUGUGAGUAAGUGGGCAACACAAUGCUUGGUGCCAGCCACAGAGGAACCACAGAGAGAGUGCCCAGCAUGGUCCUGGCCCACCCUGGGCACUCAGGAACUAUCUGUUGAACAAAUGCCAGAAAGCAUUUGUGUAUGCAGCCAAGGGGAAGUUGGCUGGGUGUGCCAGACUGAGCUUGGGCUGUGCCCAUGACCUAGUGAAGCAUCGUUAAUAGUCCUUUUCCCUCAGGAAAACAGUGAUUGAAUUGUCAAGUACUUCAAAUAGUGUGUUAUCAUGAAUCCAAUAAGGCAUUUUCUUUAAACUACUAUUUCAUGUGUGAUCUUACAUUAUCUCUUCAACACUUUGAACUCUUAUAAAAGUAAUUGAAUUGAGAAAUUAAAAAUAAAAUUCAGUGAAAAUGAAUAACAAAAAUUAAGAAAUGAAUAAGGUAUAAAAUCUCUGAAGGAUGACAGAUUAAUUAUUAAUCUUUAAUUAUUAAUAAACUGUUGUUAGUAGCUAAGUUACCAUUGGUUGCUAACAUUUGUAAACAUAGCUCGACGUCAGUUAUAAUGUUAACUGCUGAAGUGUAUUUCCAUUUGAAAUUUACAGCUGUCCAGGGCUGUAGUACUGUUAGCUCAGCCUUACACCCGAGAAAACUGAUGCCCAGAGGGCUGAAGUACCUUCCCCAGGUUUAUACACCGAGCUCAUAUUAUGCUCAGAGUUUGAAACCAUGGCUGUUUAAUGCCGAAGCUCCAGGCCUCCAGCCACUAAACCACUUCUUCUCCAACCUUAUCAAUAUGUGGAUUUCCCAUGGGGAAUUUUUAUUGUCCCAUCCCUGUUAUUUUGGGGUUGCUUUCCUUCAUUUUUAAUCAGUGUGUAUGUAAAUAAUAUAAAUUAAUUUUAGUUUGAACACUGAAUUAGGAAGCUGAAGCUCAUAAUUCUAAUUCUUGUCUUAGUUUCUUAAUUUAUCUGGGCUUUGUUUGAUGCCUCCUAUAAAAUGUAAAGCCAGCCAGGUGAGGUGCUCAUGCCUGUAAUCCUAACACUUUGAGAGGCCAAGGGAGAUGGAUUGCUUGAGCUCAAGAGUUCAAGACCAGCCCGGGCCACAUGGCAAAACCCUGCCUCUGCAAAAAAUGCAAAAAAUUAGCUGGGCCUGGUGGCCCAUAUCUGCAGUCCCAGCGGCUUGGCGGGCUGGGAUCACUUGAGCCUAGCAGGUAGAGGCUGCAGUGAGCCGAGAUCGUGCCACUGCAUGUCGGCCUGGAUGACAAAGUGAGACCCUUUCUCGAAUGAAUGAAUGAAUGAAUGAAUGAAUGAAUGAAUAAACAAAUAAACAAAAUGUAAGAGCCAUUGGGUAAAUCAGUGGUUUUUCUUACCCCCAAUGCAUCUAACAGAACAUUAAUUAGUAAUAGUACUUUCUGUAGCAUUAAUUUUUACUUCUUUGAAGUAAAGGGUUAUACCAGAUUUUGGGAGACUGGGACAGUGAUUCUGAUAGGUUACACUCCUUUAUCCCCACCUGACAUAAAAAAAAAGUUACCAAGCAAUUUUGAGAUCUAUUUUUGUGUCUGCUGACAUAACAAGUAGAAAUUUUCUUAUUUCUCCACUACCUUUUCCAUUUACUGCUCUUUCAGUUUGGGGGCUUAUCUGGCUGUUGUGAUCUUUAUGUGUCUCUAACUUGCUGUCAUUUACCAUCCUCUGGAUCAUUUGUAAAGUCUGAUUCAGAGAUCUCGGGGAGUCCCUGAGAUCCCUUUAGGAUAGAGGUAGUAAAGUGAAAACUAUUUUCAUAAUGAUAAACAUUAUUUGCCUUUUUUACUUUCAUUCUCUCAAGAGCGUAUGGGGGGGCUUUCCAAAGUCUGUAUGAUGUGUGAUAUUGCAGUAGAAACAUUUGAGGAUCUGUUGUUCUACUGUUAAGUCAGACAUUCAAUAGAUUUAUAAAAAUAUAAGACAAUACCACUCUUCUAUUUUUUUGUUUUGAAAAUAUAUUUUUCAUAACAAUUUUAUAAUUCUUGAAUUCACAGAUUGUUAAAAAUUCUCAGUUUUAAUUUCUAAUAUGGCUGUGUAUCAAUGGCUGUUGUUUAUGUAGCUUAUGUUCCUUUGGUUUCCUCAAUAUUUUUUAAGGAUAAAAAGGGUCCUGAGACUGAAAAAUUUAAGAACAGCUGCUCUAGAAUUCAUUGAUGCCUCUUGGGUAGCUGGCUCUGUAUUCUUCCUUAGUCAUCUGGAUGGCGGAUGUCCCACUGGCCUCUGUGACGGAGUCACCUGAGCCCCUUGUUAGUAUCUGUCAUGUUUGUGCACCCUCACUAUGUACUCUCUUGUCUAGUGCUGCUCCAUUUCUGAAAUCUGUAACUCCCAGAGCUGGCUGAGACCCGUCUUCUGGAGUCAGGCUUGCUGAUACAGUUUAGAUCUGUGCCCCCUCCCAAAUCUCAUGUUGAAAAGUAAUCCCCAAUGUUGGAGGUGGGCCUGGUGGGAGGUGAUUGGAUCAUGGGGGCAGGUUCUGGCACCAUCCCCUUGGUGCUGUCCUCACAAUAGUGGGUGAGUUCUUAUGAGAUCUGGUCAUUUAAAGGUGUAUGGCACCUCCCCCUGCUUUCUUGCUCCUGCUCUGGCCAUGUGAUGUGCCUGCUCCCACCUCACCUUCUGCCAUGAUUAUAAUCUUCCUGAGGCCUCCCCAGAAGCCAACCAGAUGUCAGCACCAUGCUUCCUGUACAGGCUGCAGAACUGUUCACUCACACUUGGAUGUCUGCCUGGCAGUGUGGUGGGUGACAGAGACUCGAGAGUUGAGGGCCUAGGAGGUGUGCUAGAGAAAAACUAUCUAGCACCGUGUGAUUGAAAUACAAUGCAAUCCACAGAUGUAAUUUAAAACUUUCCAUCUGGGCAUGGUGGCUCAUUGCUUGUAAGUCCAGCACUUUGAGAGGUCGAAGCAGAUGAAUCACUUGAGGUCAAGAGUUCAAGACAAGCCUGGCCAAUAUGUCUUCAAAAUCUGGGGUGUAUUUUCCAAUUGCAACUUAUCUCAGUUUACACUGGCCACAUUUCAAGAGUUCAGUAACCACGUGUGGCUAGUAGGGGUGUAUUGAUACUGCUUUGUGUUUGCUCUGGGAUACCUCACAGUGUGCCAAGUUACUCGAGUCUAUAUCUUUGACUAUGGACAAUAUUCUGCGGAUUUUUCAGG